UAGGGAAUAUUGCGCAAUGGGGGAAACCCUGACGCAGCGACGCCGCGUGUGUGAUGAAGGCUUUCGGGUUGUAAAGCACUGUCGUGAGGGAAUAAGUUCUGAAGGUACCUCACAAGAAAGGACCGGCUAACUUCGUGCCAGCAGCCGCGGUAAUACGAGGGGUCCAAGCGUUGUUCGGAAUUACUGGGCGUAAAGCGGGUGUAGGCGGAACCGUAAGUCAGAAGUGAAAGCCCUGGGCUCAACCCAGGAAGUGCUUUUGAUACUGCGGUUCUUGAGUGUGGGAGAGGAUAGUAGAAUUCCUGGUGUAGUGGUGAAAUACGUAGAUAUCAGGAGGAACACCGGUGGCGAAGGCGGCUAUCUGGCCCAACACUGACGCUCAGACCCGAAAGCGUGGGUAGCAAACAGGAUUAGAUACCCCGGUAGUCC
This 426-nucleotide ribosomal RNA is filed under the name uncultured prokaryote. Its description in RNAcentral is "bacterial SSU rRNA". It matches the Rfam family "Bacterial small subunit ribosomal RNA", at positions 355 to 796 of the family's 1533-position model. The record is from RNAcentral.